GGCGGGGCCACCCGCU
This 16-nucleotide ribosomal RNA is filed under the name Ophiopogon szechuanensis. RNAcentral describes it as "partial 26S ribosomal RNA". The record is from RNAcentral. Lineage: Eukaryota; Viridiplantae; Streptophyta; Magnoliopsida; Asparagales; Asparagaceae.